GCCGAGGUAGCCAAGCGGCCUACGGCGCUGGUCUUGAAAACCAGUGGGGCUUACGUCCCGCAAGGGUUCAAAUCCCUUCCUCGGCG
Molecule: transfer RNA, 86 nt
Rfam family: tRNA
About the family: Transfer RNA (tRNA) molecules are approximately 80 nucleotides in length. Their secondary structure includes four short double-helical elements and three loops (D, anti-codon, and T loops). Further hydrogen bonds mediate the characteristic L-shaped molecular structure. tRNAs have two regions of fundamental functional importance: the anti-codon, which is responsible for specific mRNA codon recognition, and the 3' end, to which the tRNAs corresponding amino acid is attached (by aminoacyl-tRNA synthetases). tRNAs cope with the degeneracy of the genetic code in two manners: having more than one tRNA (with a specific anti-codon) for a particular amino acid; and 'wobble' base-pairing, i.e. permitting non-standard base-pairing at the 3rd anti-codon position.
Source: Rfam